UUACUAAAGUUUAGUAAAUAAAUAAAUAAGUUAACAUAAUAUGUCUAAAAGUUGAUGAACUCCUCCAUUUUCUUAUUGCUCUCUCUCUCUAUUCUCCCUAUAUAUAUAUAUAUAUCCUCUCUUAUCUUGCAGUCCACCUGGCCAAAACAUACUCCUAACAUCUUUCAAAAAUACAGACACAUUAGAUAAGAUUGUCCUGGAUUCAGUACCUCAGAAUGAGAAAUAGAAAUUCCAGACCAUUGAGAAAUAAGCUUCUUGUAUUUUGUAAGAUUAUUUAAAUUGAUGUUGGACAGUUUAACUGGGCUGGCACAGGCUCCAGUCUGAUUUAACAUGGUUUUCUUUGGCUGGAUUCCCUUCCUAAUGCCAACCACUCCGAGAAUGUAAUGCAUGCUUUUAUGUGCCACUUGUAUGGGUGCCAUCUGCAUGACACCGGUGUCUGCCACGACUGCAAUUUUGUUCCAGAUGGAAAUUUUUUUCCAUUUUAAAACCUUUAAAUAAUUAGAUACCUACAGGGUGCUAUUUGGUUAAUGUAUUUUUCCGGUACACCUUUUAAAAUUUAUGCUAACUGGUUUUACUUGGUUGUGACCAUACCAGAAUAUUAUAUUGAGUGAAAGUGA
Octopus sinensis (East Asian common octopus) is the source of this 617-nucleotide long non-coding RNA. RefSeq lists it as uncharacterized. Lineage: Eukaryota; Metazoa; Mollusca; Cephalopoda; Octopoda; Octopodidae. The transcript is spliced from 3 exons. The record is from RefSeq and is a predicted model, not a curated record.